This 449-nucleotide ribosomal RNA is filed under the name uncultured bacterium. RNAcentral describes it as "bacterial SSU rRNA". It matches the Rfam family "Bacterial small subunit ribosomal RNA", at positions 29 to 524 of the family's 1533-position model. The record is from RNAcentral.
AACGAACGCUGGCGGCAGGCCUAACACAUGCAAGUCGAACGCCCUAGCAAUAGGGAGUGGCAGACGGGUGAGUAACACGUGGGAACCUUCCCUAUAGUACGGAAUAUACCAGGGAAACUUGGAGCAAUACCGUAUACGCCCGAGAGGGGAAAGAUUUAUCGCUAUAGGAUGGGCCCGCGUAGGAUUAGCUAGUUGGUGAGGUAAUGGCUCACCAAGGCGACGAUCCUUAGCUGGUUUGAGAGAACGACCGGCCACACUGGGACUGAGACACGGCCCAGACUCCUACGGGAGGCAGCAGUGGGGAAUAUUGGACAAUGGGCGCAAGCCUGAUCCAGCCAUGCCGCGUGAGUGAUGAAGGCCUUAGGGUUGUAAAGCUCUUUUGGCGGGACGAUAAUGACGGUACCCGCAGAAUAAGUCCCGGCUAACUUCGUGCCAGCCGCCGCAGUAAU